AUGUGGGCCUGCUGGGGGAAGCGGCGCCUCGGGCCUGGCCUGGGCCUGGGCCCAGGGGCCUGUCCUGGCCCUCGGGGCUCCACUCCCCUCAGAGCGGGACGCUGCUGGCCUCACCCCCCUGCUCUCCCCCAUCACAGACCGCCAACUCCACUGCCCUGCAGCAAUUUUAACAAAACUGAAGUUUUCCCCUCUCCCUUGACUGCCAUGUCGGUGGGAUACCUGGCCAGGAGAGCAGGAGGCACCUGGGCAAAGAGGAAAGCGGGAAAUGCAGUGGAUCAAAAUGAAGAUACGAAUUCCUCUGUGGGAAGGUGGCAUACGAAACAUUUGCAGCUGUGUGGUUUGGGCACCACAUGUUCUGAAGAAAUACACAGUUGGACUGUCUACACUGAAGUGGUGAAUUCCUGAGCUUGUACUACCUGAGAUAACUUCUUGGCUGAAAAGGGCAUCCUUGUCUAUAACUUUGCUCAUGAGAAAGGUGGAGACUUAAGAAGGAGAAGUGGAGGUGGAAAAAGGGAAAAGAAGAAAUGAGGGGAAGCAGCAGAGGAAGGAUGGUAUGCCAAGUUAUUUUCAACUUAGACAAUUUUGGAGGUUUGCCUAAAGGAAAGUAAAAUAAAAUAAAGGCACUAAAACUCA
This 633-nucleotide long non-coding RNA is filed under the name Anser cygnoides (Swan goose). Its description in RNAcentral is "lncRNA (ENSACDG00005016416.1)". The record is from RNAcentral. Lineage: Eukaryota; Metazoa; Chordata; Aves; Anseriformes; Anatidae.